GCCCAACCCUACACCUGAUUCCCAUUCAUUCUAUAGAUUUGACACCUCGAGAGCAGAUUUUUUUUUUCUUGUUUUUUUUUUUUUGUACACUUAACAUUUAUAAAUGUAGCUCUGACCUAAACAGACUAGGCAUUCCUUAUAUUUUGUAUUUAUUUUUCCUGAUUAAUUCUUUCUCUAACCGGGAUGUCGUGACGCAACAGGUGCGCGCUCAGACCACGCCUCCUCGCGAGGCGUUCAGGUGUUUAAAAAAAAAAAAAAAGUAGAAAAAAAAAAAGAAAGAAAAACGCUCGUUAAAUACCGCGAAGCUCCGACAAAGACAGAAAGCAGAAAGCAGAGAGCAGCACAGGUGAGGGGCAGACUGACAGUGUCACCGUGAGGACACACACACACACACACACACACACGCAGACACAGUGCAGGAGAGUCGCUGUCAGCAUGAACACUGCCGUGGUCCUACUACCUGUGUCCAUACUGCUGUCCGUGGGCUUCAUGGGAGUCACAAGGAUCCGGCGAAAGGAGCUGGAUUCUCAGACUCAGCAGAGGCAGUUUCGGGAAAUCACGAUGCAAGUGAAUAUCGACCUGGUGGCGCAAAACAGCGCAGCGAUUAUAGAGACGCAGAAGCAACUGGAGAAUACCCAGAGUGAAAUCAAAACUCUGACUGACCAAUACAACGUGGUCGUUGCCAGGGCCGAACAGGCCAAGACCAACUGGGAGGAAUGCAGUGGAGAACAGGUUUGAAUGACGUGUUUAACCAGUUUUCCUGGUUGGAAACCAAACCCGUUAAUUACAACUGGCACAAUUCAUCACACAAAGCAGUGCCAUUGUGUGUAAUCACAGAUGUCGGCUAAGAGUGGAAUAACUGGUUAUCGCAACAAAACCUCAUAA
This 885-nucleotide long non-coding RNA is filed under the name Gouania willdenowi (blunt-snouted clingfish). RNAcentral describes it as "lncRNA (ENSGWIG00000015124.1)". Lineage: Eukaryota; Metazoa; Chordata; Actinopteri; Blenniiformes; Gobiesocidae. The record is from RNAcentral.